GACGAACGCUGGCGGCGCGCUUAACACAUGCAAGUCGAGCGAUGAAACUUUAACAGACCCCUUCGGGGCGAAGCUAAAGUGGAUUAGCGGCGGACGGGUGAGUAACACGUGAGUAACCUGCCUUAGACAUUGGGAUAGCCUCGGGAAACCGGGAUAAAUACCAAAUCAAAUCAUAAUGACACAUGUCAUAUCGCUCAAAACUCCGGUGGGCUAGGAUGGACUCGCGUCCCAUUCGCUAGUUGGUAGAGUAAAAGCCUACCAAGGCGACGAUGGGUAGCCGGGAUGUGAGGCACGGUCGCGACAUCGACACUGAGCAGCAGUCCAGAAUCCUACGGGAGGCAGCAGUGCCUGAUAGUGCAAAACGGAGUGAGCGCUGAAGGAGUGACGCCGCGUAAACGAUGAAGUCUGGCAAGAAGUAAAGUGCUUUUAUAUGGGAAGAUAAUGACGGUACCAUAAGAAAAAGCCCCGGCUAACUACGUG
RNAcentral lists this ribosomal RNA (480 nucleotides) under uncultured bacterium. RNAcentral's name for it is "partial 16S ribosomal RNA". It matches the Rfam family "Bacterial small subunit ribosomal RNA", at positions 28 to 507 of the family's 1533-position model. The record is from RNAcentral.